Molecule: ribosomal RNA, 460 nt
Filed under: bacterium VCB4001
Lineage: Bacteria
Description: bacterial SSU rRNA
Rfam family: Bacterial small subunit ribosomal RNA
Source: RNAcentral
GACGAACGCUGGCGGCGUGCCUAACACAUGCAAGUCGAGCGGGGACAUGCGACGGAAGAGAAGUUUUCGGAUGGAUCUGAAGACGUAUGUUCUAGCGGCGGACGGGUGAGUAACGCGUGAGCAACCUGUCCUUCACAGGGGGAUAACACAGCGAAAGUUGUACUAAUACCGCAUAAGACCACAACGGGACAUCCCGAAGGGGUCAAAGGAGCAAUCCGGUGAAGGGUGGGCUCGCGUCCGAUUAGAUAGUUGGUGAGGUAACGGCCCACCAAGUCGACGAUCGGUAGCCGACCUGAGAGGGUGAUCGGCCACAUUGGGACUGAGACACGGCCCAAACUCCUACGGGAGGCAGCAGUGGGGAAUAUUGGGCAAUGGGGGAAACCCUGACCCAGCAACGCCGCGUGAGGGAAGAAGGUUUUCGGAUCGUAAACCUCUGUCCUUGGUGAAGAGUGACAGACAG